This 1235-nucleotide ribosomal RNA is filed under the name Segatella copri. RNAcentral's name for it is "bacterial SSU rRNA". It matches the Rfam family "Bacterial small subunit ribosomal RNA", at positions 21 to 1247 of the family's 1533-position model. The record is from RNAcentral. Lineage: Bacteria; Pseudomonadati; Bacteroidota; Bacteroidia; Bacteroidales; Prevotellaceae.
GGCUCAGGAUGAACGCUAGCUACAGGCUUAACACAUGCAAGUCGAGGGGAAACGACAUCGAAAGCUUGCUUUUGAUGGGCGUCGACCGGCGCACGGGUGAGUAACGCGUAUCCAACCUGCCCACCACUUGGGGAUAACCUUGCGAAAGUAAGACUAAUACCCAAUGACGUCUCUAGAAGACAUCUGAAAGAGAUUAAAGAUUUAUCGGUGAUGGAUGGGGAUGCGUCUGAUUAGCUUGUUGGCGGGGUAACGGCCCACCAAGGCAACGAUCAGUAGGGGUUCUGAGAGGAAGGUCCCCCACAUUGGAACUGAGACACGGUCCAAACUCCUACGGGAGGCAGCAGUGAGGAAUAUUGGUCAAUGGGCGAGAGCCUGAACCAGCCAAGUAGCGUGCAGGAUGACGGCCCUAUGGGUUGUAAACUGCUUUUAUAAGGGAAUAAAGUGAGUCUCGUGAGACUUUUUGCAUGUACCUUAUGAAUAAGGACCGGCUAAUUCCGUGCCAGCAGCCGCGGUAAUACGGAAGGUCCGGGCGUUAUCCGGAUUUAUUGGGUUUAAAGGGAGCGUAGGCCGGAGAUUAAGCGUGUUGUGAAAUGUAGACGCUCAACGUCUGCACUGCAGCGCGAACUGGUUUCCUUGAGUACGCACAAAGUGGGCGGAAUUCGUGGUGUAGCGGUGAAAUGCUUAGAUAUCACGAAGAACUCCGAUUGCGAAGGCAGCUCACUGGAGCGCAACUGACGCUGAAGCUCGAAAGUGCGGGUAUCGAACAGGAUUAGAUACCCUGGUAGUCCGCACGGUAAACGAUGGAUGCCCGCUGUUGGUCUGAAUAGGUCAGCGGCCAAGCGAAAGCAUUAAGCAUCCCACCUGGGGAGUACGCCGGCAACGGUGAAACUCAAAGGAAUUGACGGGGGCCCGCACAAGCGGAGGAACAUGUGGUUUAAUUCGAUGAUACGCGAGGAACCUUACCCGGGCUUGAAUUGCAGAGGAAGGAUUUGGAGACAAUGACGCCCUUCGGGGCCUCUGUGAAGGUGCUGCAUGGUUGUCGUCAGCUCGUGCCGUGAGGUGUCGGCUUAAGUGCCAUAACGAGCGCAACCCCUCUCCUUAGUUGCCAUCAGGUCAAGCUGGGCACUCUGGGGACACUGCCACCGUAAGGUGUGAGGAAGGUGGGGAUGACGUCAAAUCAGCACGGCCCUUACGUCCGGGGCUACACACGUGUUACAAUGGCAGGUACAGAGAGA